CACGGGGGUUGCGAGCGUUGUCCGGAAUUACUAGGCGUAAAGGGCAGGCAGGCGGAUCCAUAAGUUUAUCGUUUAAGGCGUCGGCUUAACCGGCGUAGGGCAGUAGAUACUGUGGAUCUGGAAUGCGGUUGGGGAAGACAGAAUUCCUGGUGUAGCGGUGGAAUGCGCAGAGAUCAGGAGGAAUACCGAAGGCGAAGGCAGUCUUCCAAGCCGUUAUUGACGCUCAACUGCGAAGGUGUGGGUAUCAAACAGGAUUAGAUACCCUGGUAGUCCCU
RNAcentral lists this ribosomal RNA (275 nucleotides) under uncultured prokaryote. Its description in RNAcentral is "partial 16S ribosomal RNA". It matches the Rfam family "Bacterial small subunit ribosomal RNA", at positions 524 to 798 of the family's 1533-position model. The record is from RNAcentral.